This 71-nucleotide transfer RNA is filed under the name Scarelus anthracinus. Its description in RNAcentral is "tRNA-Glu". Lineage: Eukaryota; Metazoa; Arthropoda; Insecta; Coleoptera; Lycidae. The record is from RNAcentral.
CUUCUAACUUUUCAACAAGCAAUAAUGUUUAUAUUUCUAUUAAUAUAGUUUAAAAAAACAAUCCAUUUUCA